CAGCUUGUAAACAAAAAGCCGUUCCUCCGGUUCCUACACGGGAGACCCGAAUUCCUCGACUUGCGUUGGACGUGGCUACAUGGCACCGAAUGCUCUGCCGGAAAUACCAGCUCUUGGCAGUUGAAUAAGUAGGUUAGACAAAAUGUUGCGAUUAAUGGACCGAAGGAAAAAACUCUUACCCAACGGAAGGCUCGCAUCCCUCCUUAAACGCUACCGGAGAAAAAGAAAACAGCGCUCCCGGAGUUUCUUGGUUACGAAAUCAGUUAGCUUCCAAUGUCGCUGGAUCGGUGUUGCCGGAAGCAGUUGCAUGCAGACAUGCAGAUGGCGCCAAGCCAAUCUGAAGUUAUAAAGGAGAUGGUAUGUCUUCACAUCCGUCUUGCAUGCUCGGCUCAAAUACCGAAAGGCCGGAAGUUUCGCCACCAAUGGGAGCAACGAGGGAAGAUUUUAGCCAUCAUAUUUUGCCGGAUGUCUAGAAACGACUGAAACCACACUGAUUACGUAUGCUAACCAAGGCGGAAGGAGCCAGAGGAAUUGUGA
Long non-coding RNA from Uranotaenia lowii, 537 nucleotides. RefSeq lists it as uncharacterized. NCBI's taxonomy places the organism in Eukaryota, Metazoa, Arthropoda, Insecta, Diptera, Culicidae. The transcript is spliced from 3 exons. The record is from RefSeq and is a predicted model, not a curated record.